AUAGAUAUUACGAAGAACAUCAGUGGCGAAGGCGGCCUGCUGGUCUACAACUGACGCUGAGGCACGAAAGCGUGGGGAUCAAACAGGAUUAGAUACCCUGGUAGUCCACGCCGUAAACGAUGAGUGCUAAGUGUUAGGGGGUUUCCGCCCCUUAGUGCUGCAGCUAACGCAUUAAGCACUCCGCCUGGGGAGUACGACCGCAAGGUUGAAACUCAAAGGAAUUGACGGGGAUCCGCACAAGCGGUGGAGCAUGUGGUUUAAUUCGAAGCAACGCGCAGAACCUUACCCGCGUUUGACAUGCCCUGUUUGGUUACCAGAGAUGGUUUCCUUCAUUUAGUUGGCAGGUGCACAGGUGCUGCAUGGCUGUCGUCAGCUCGUGUCGUGAG
Molecule: ribosomal RNA, 386 nt
Filed under: Pseudo-nitzschia fraudulenta
Lineage: Eukaryota; Bacillariophyta; Bacillariophyceae; Bacillariales; Bacillariaceae
Description: partial Bacterial small subunit ribosomal RNA
Rfam family: Bacterial small subunit ribosomal RNA
Source: RNAcentral